GGGGAAUAGCCCAAAAAAAUUUGGAUUAAUGCCCCAUGGUAUGUAAUUGUGGCAUCACUAUUACAUUAAAGGUUACGGUACCAGAUGACUAUGCGUCCCAUUAGUUAGUUGGUAAGGUAACGGCUUACCAAGGCAGCGAUGGGUAGGGGCCCUGAGAGGGGGAUCCCCCACACUGGUACUGAGACACGGACCAGACUCCUACGGGAGGCAGCAGUGAGGAAUAUUGGACAAUGGGCGGGAGCCUGAUCCAGCCAUGCCGCGUGCAGGAAGACGGUCCUAUGGAUUGUAAACUGCUUUUGUACGGGAAGAAUAAGGGCUACGUGUAGCCUGUUGACGGUACCGUAAGAAUAAGGAUCGGCUAACUCCGUGCCAGCAGCCGCGGUAAUACGGAGGAUCCGAGCGUUAUCCGGAAUCAUUGGGUUUAAAGGGUCCGUAGGCGGGCCAUUAAGUCAGGGGUGAAAGUCUGCGGCUCCACCCGUAGAAUUGCCCUUGAUACUGGUGGUCUUGAGUUAUGGUGAAGUGGCCGGAAUAUGUAGUGUAGCGGUGAAAUGCAUAGAUAUUACCUAGAACACCGAUUGCGAAGGCCGGUCACUAACCAUAUACUGACGCUGAUGGACGAAAGCGUGGGGAGCGAACAGGAUUAGAUACCCUGGUAGUCCACGCCGUAAACGAUGGAUACUAGCUGUCCGGGCGCAAGCCUGGGCGGCCAAGCGAAAGUGAUAAG
RNAcentral lists this ribosomal RNA (724 nucleotides) under Arenibacter sp. SRO_310. Its description in RNAcentral is "bacterial SSU rRNA". It matches the Rfam family "Bacterial small subunit ribosomal RNA", at positions 138 to 864 of the family's 1533-position model. Lineage: Bacteria; Pseudomonadati; Bacteroidota; Flavobacteriia; Flavobacteriales; Flavobacteriaceae. The record is from RNAcentral.